AGCGCAGGUGGUUUCUUAAGUCUGAUGUAAAAGGCAGUGGCUCAACCAUUGUGUGCAUUGGAAACUGGGAGACUUGAGUGCAGGAGAGGAGAGUGGAAUUCCAUGUGUAGCGGUGAAAUGCGUAGAUAUAUGGAGGAACACCGGAGGCGAAAGCGGCUCUCUGGCCUGUAACUGACACUGAGGCUCGAAAGCGUGGGGAGCAAACG
This 206-nucleotide ribosomal RNA is filed under the name uncultured bacterium. Its description in RNAcentral is "partial 16S ribosomal RNA". It matches the Rfam family "Bacterial small subunit ribosomal RNA", at positions 568 to 774 of the family's 1533-position model. The record is from RNAcentral.